CGGGUGAGUAACGCGUGAGGAACCUGCCUCAAAGAGGGGGACAACAGUUGGAAACGGCUGCUAAUACCGCAUAAGCCCACGGCUCGGCAUCGAGCAGAGGGAAAAGGAGCAAUCCGCUUUGAGAUGGCCUCGCGUCCGAUUAGCUAGUUGGUGAGGUAAUGGCCCACCAAGGCGACGAUCGGUAGCCGGACUGAGAGGUUGAACGGCCACAUUGGGACUGAGACACGGCCCAG
This 233-nucleotide ribosomal RNA is filed under the name uncultured bacterium. RNAcentral's name for it is "partial 16S ribosomal RNA". It matches the Rfam family "Bacterial small subunit ribosomal RNA", at positions 103 to 334 of the family's 1533-position model. The record is from RNAcentral.